CCUACGGGAGGCAGCAGUAGGGAAUAUUGCUCAAUGGGGGAAACCCUGAAGCAGCAACGCCGCGUGGAGGAUGAAGGUUUUCGGAUUGUAAACUCCUUUUGUUAGAGAAGAUAAUGACGGUAUCUAACGAAUAAGCACCGGCUAACUCCGUGCCAGCAGCCGCGGUAAUACGGAGGGUGCAAGCGUUACUCGGAAUCACUGGGCGGAAAGAGCGCGUAGGCGGGAUAGCAAGUCAGAUGUGAAAUCCUAUGGCUUAACCAUAGAACUGCAUUUGAAACUGUUAUUCUAGAGUGUGGGUGAGGUAGGUGGAAUGCGUGGUGUAGCGGUGAAAUGCGUAGAGAUCAAGAAGAAUACUGAUUGCGAAGGCGACCUGCUAGAACAUAACUGACGCUGAUGCGCGAAAGCGUGGGGAGCAAACAGGAUUAGAUACCCGAGUAGUC
RNAcentral lists this ribosomal RNA (440 nucleotides) under uncultured bacterium. Its description in RNAcentral is "partial 16S ribosomal RNA". It matches the Rfam family "Bacterial small subunit ribosomal RNA", at positions 338 to 795 of the family's 1533-position model. The record is from RNAcentral.